This 2902-nucleotide ribosomal RNA is filed under the name Escherichia coli DEC6B. RNAcentral describes it as "bacterial LSU rRNA". It matches the Rfam family "Bacterial large subunit ribosomal RNA". Lineage: Bacteria; Pseudomonadati; Pseudomonadota; Gammaproteobacteria; Enterobacterales; Enterobacteriaceae. The record is from RNAcentral.
UUAAGCGACUAAGCGUACACGGUGGAUGCCCUGGCAGUCAGAGGCGAUGAAGGACGUGCUAAUCUGCGAUAAGCGUCGGUAAGGUGAUAUGAACCGUUAUAACCGGCGAUUUCCGAAUGGGGAAACCCAGUGUGUUUCGACACACUAUCAUUAACUGAAUCCAUAGGUUAAUGAGGCGAACCGGGGGGAACUGAAACAUCUAAGUACCCCGAGGAAAAGAAAUCAACCGAGAUUCCCCCAGUAGCGGCGAGCGAACGGGGAGCAGCCCAGAGCCUGAAUCAGUGUGUGUGUUAGUGGAAGCGUCUGGAAAGGCGCGCGAUACAGGGUGACAGCCCCGUACACAAAAAUGCACAUGCUGUGAGCUCGAUGAGUAGGGCGGGACACGUGGUAUCCUGUCUGAAUAUGGGGGGACCAUCCUCCAAGGCUAAAUACUCCUGACUGACCGAUAGUGAACCAGUACCGUGAGGGAAAGGCGAAAAGAACCCCGGCGAGGGGAGUGAAAAAGAACCUGAAACCGUGUACGUACAAGCAGUGGGAGCACGCUUAGGCGUGUGACUGCGUACCUUUUGUAUAAUGGGUCAGCGACUUAUAUUCUGUAGCAAGGUUAACCGAAUAGGGGAGCCGAAGGGAAACCGAGUCUUAACUGGGCGUUAAGUUGCAGGGUAUAGACCCGAAACCCGGUGAUCUAGCCAUGGGCAGGUUGAAGGUUGGGUAACACUAACUGGAGGACCGAACCGACUAAUGUUGAAAAAUUAGCGGAUGACUUGUGGCUGGGGGUGAAAGGCCAAUCAAACCGGGAGAUAGCUGGUUCUCCCCGAAAGCUAUUUAGGUAGCGCCUCGUGAAUUCAUCUCCGGGGGUAGAGCACUGUUUCGGCAAGGGGGUCAUCCCGACUUACCAACCCGAUGCAAACUGCGAAUACCGGAGAAUGUUAUCACGGGAGACACACGGCGGGUGCUAACGUCCGUCGUGAAGAGGGAAACAACCCAGACCGCCAGCUAAGGUCCCAAAGUCAUGGUUAAGUGGGAAACGAUGUGGGAAGGCCCAGACAGCCAGGAUGUUGGCUUAGAAGCAGCCAUCAUUUAAAGAAAGCGUAAUAGCUCACUGGUCGAGUCGGCCUGCGCGGAAGAUGUAACGGGGCUAAACCAUGCACCGAAGCUGCGGCAGCGACACUAUGUGUUGUUGGGUAGGGGAGCGUUCUGUAAGCCUGUGAAGGUGUACUGUGAGGUAUGCUGGAGGUAUCAGAAGUGCGAAUGCUGACAUAAGUAACGAUAAAGCGGGUGAAAAGCCCGCUCGCCGGAAGACCAAGGGUUCCUGUCCAACGUUAAUCGGGGCAGGGUGAGUCGACCCCUAAGGCGAGGCCGAAAGGCGUAGUCGAUGGGAAACAGGUUAAUAUUCCUGUACUUGGUGUUACUGCGAAGGGGGGACGGAGAAGGCUAUGUUGGCCGGGCGACGGUUGUCCCGGUUUAAGCGUGUAGGCUGGUUUUCCAGGCAAAUCCGGAAAAUCAAGGCUGAGGCGUGAUGACGAGGCACUACGGUGCUGAAGCAACAAAUGCCCUGCUUCCAGGAAAAGCCUCUAAGCAUCAGGUAACAUCAAAUCGUACCCCAAACCGACACAGGUGGUCAGGUAGAGAAUACCAAGGCGCUUGAGAGAACUCGGGUGAAGGAACUAGGCAAAAUGGUGCCGUAACUUCGGGAGAAGGCACGCUGAUAUGUAGGUGAGGUCCCUCGCGGAUGGAGCUGAAAUCAGUCGAAGAUACCAGCUGGCUGCAACUGUUUAUUAAAAACACAGCACUGUGCAAACACGAAAGUGGACGUAUACGGUGUGACGCCUGCCCGGUGCCGGAAGGUUAAUUGAUGGGGUUAGCGCAAGCGAAGCUCUUGAUCGAAGCCCCGGUAAACGGCGGCCGUAACUAUAACGGUCCUAAGGUAGCGAAAUUCCUUGUCGGGUAAGUUCCGACCUGCACGAAUGGCGUAAUGAUGGCCAGGCUGUCUCCACCCGAGACUCAGUGAAAUUGAACUCGCUGUGAAGAUGCAGUGUACCCGCGGCAAGACGGAAAGACCCCGUGAACCUUUACUAUAGCUUGACACUGAACAUUGAGCCUUGAUGUGUAGGAUAGGUGGGAGGCUUAGAAGUGUGGACGCCAGUCUGCAUGGAGCCGACCUUGAAAUACCACCCUUUAAUGUUUGAUGUUCUAACGUUGACCCGUAAUCCGGGUUGCGGACAGUGUCUGGUGGGUAGUUUGACUGGGGCGGUCUCCUCCUAAAGAGUAACGGAGGAGCACGAAGGUUGGCUAAUCCUGGUCGGACAUCAGGAGGUUAGUGCAAUGGCAUAAGCCAGCUUGACUGCGAGCGUGACGGCGCGAGCAGGUGCGAAAGCAGGUCAUAGUGAUCCGGUGGUUCUGAAUGGAAGGGCCAUCGCUCAACGGAUAAAAGGUACUCCGGGGAUAACAGGCUGAUACCGCCCAAGAGUUCAUAUCGACGGCGGUGUUUGGCACCUCGAUGUCGGCUCAUCACAUCCUGGGGCUGAAGUAGGUCCCAAGGGUAUGGCUGUUCGCCAUUUAAAGUGGUACGCGAGCUGGGUUUAGAACGUCGUGAGACAGUUCGGUCCCUAUCUGCCGUGGGCGCUGGAGAACUGAGGGGGGCUGCUCCUAGUACGAGAGGACCGGAGUGGACGCAUCACUGGUGUUCGGGUUGUCAUGCCAAUGGCACUGCCCGGUAGCUAAAUGCGGAAGAGAUAAGUGCUGAAAGCAUCUAAGCACGAAACUUGCCCCGAGAUGAGUUCUCCCUGACCCUUUAAGGGUCCUGAAGGAACGUUGAAGACGACGACGUUGAUAGGCCGGGUGUGUAAGCGCAGCGAUGCGUUGAGCUAACCGGUACUAAUGAACCGUGAGGCUUAACCUU